Molecule: ribosomal RNA, 280 nt
Filed under: uncultured bacterium
Lineage: Bacteria
Description: partial 16S ribosomal RNA
Rfam family: Bacterial small subunit ribosomal RNA
Source: RNAcentral
GUGGAUUAGAUACCCUGGUAGUCCACGCCGUAAACGAUGGAUACUAGCUGUUGGGAGCAAUCUCAGUGGCUAAGCGAAAGUGAUAAGUAUCCCACCUGGGGAGUACGAACGCAAGUUUGAAACUCAAAGGAAUUGACGGGGGCCCGCACAAGCGGUGGAGCAUGUGGUUUAAUUCGAUGAUACGCGAGGAACCUUACCAAGGCUUAAAUGUAGAUUGACAGGUUUGGAAACAGACUUUUCUUCGGACAAUUUACAAGGUGCUGCAUGGUCGUCGACAACU